Molecule: ribosomal RNA, 805 nt
Filed under: Staphylococcus aureus
Lineage: Bacteria; Bacillati; Bacillota; Bacilli; Caryophanales; Staphylococcaceae
Description: partial 23S ribosomal RNA
Rfam family: Bacterial large subunit ribosomal RNA
Source: RNAcentral
CACUGCCGAGAAAAGCCUCUAGAUAGAAAAUAGGUGCCCGUACCGCAAACCGACACAGGUAGUCAAGAUGAGAAUUCUAAGGUGAGCGAGCGAACUCUCGUUAAGGAACUCGGCAAAAUGACCCCGUAACUUCGGGAGAAGGGGUGCUCUUUAGGGUUAACGCCCAGAAGAGCCGCAGUGAAUAGGCCCAAGCGACUGUUUAUCAAAAACACAGGUCUCUGCUAAACCGUAAGGUGAUGUAUAGGGGCUGACGCCUGCCCGGUGCUGGAAGGUUAAGAGGAGUGGUUAGCUUCUGCGAAGCUACGAAUCGAAGCCCCAGUAAACGGCGGCCGUAACUAUAACGGUCCUAAGGUAGCGAAAUUCCUUGUCGGGUAAGUUCCGACCCGCACGAAAGGCGUAACGAUUUGGGCACUGUCUCAACGAGAGACUCGGUGAAAUCAUAGUACCUGUGAAGAUGCAGGUUACCCGCGACAGGACGGAAAGACCCCGUGGAGCUUUACUGUAGCCUGAUAUUGAAAUUCGGCACAGCUUGUACAGGAUAGGUAGGAGCCUUUGAAACGUGAGCGCUAGCUUACGUGGAGGCGCUGGUGGGAUACUACCCUAGCUGUGUUGGCUUUCUAACCCGCACCACUUAUCGUGGUGGGAGACAGUGUCAGGCGGGCAGUUUGACUGGGGCGGUCGCCUCCUAAAAGGUAACGGAGGCGCUCAAAGGUUCCCUCAGAAUGGUUGGAAAUCAUUCAUAGAGUGUAAAGGCAUAAGGGAGCUUGACUGCGAGACCUACAAGUCGAGCAGGGUCGAAAGACGG